RNAcentral lists this long non-coding RNA (252 nucleotides) under Ictidomys tridecemlineatus (thirteen-lined ground squirrel). RNAcentral describes it as "lncRNA (ENSSTOG00000030374.1)". The record is from RNAcentral. Lineage: Eukaryota; Metazoa; Chordata; Mammalia; Rodentia; Sciuridae.
ACUUCCAGCAUUGUCACACCAUGACAUGGGUCUCCUGAGACCACAUCUUUACUCUCUGUGUCUCUUAUUUGGCCAUAUCCACACUUGGACUGGGCUCCAGGCUUGUCAUUUUUCCACCACUGACUCUUCCUGGAAAAUUUAUCCUGAGGCUGCAUCUGUUCCUGAGAUGUUAGAAAUCUAUAGGGAGGGUUGAGCUGUUGUUGAUCACUGAUUAACUCCCCUUGAAUAUGUUGCUGGAGUCUUUUCUCUAGC